GAGAACGCUGGCGGCGUGCCUAACACAUGCAAGUCGAGCGGAGAUGUACUGAAGAUUUAUCGGAUGUACAUCUUAGCGGCGGACGGGUGAGUAACGCGUGGGCAACCUGCCUUCCACUGGGGGAUAACACAGGGAAACCUGUGCUAAUACCGCAUGACAUCACAUAGGGCAUCCUGUGUGAUCAAAGGAGUGAUCCGGUGGAAGAUGGGCCCGCGUCCGAUUAGCUAGUUGGUGAGGUAACGGCUCACCAAGGCGACGAUCGGUAGCCGGACUGAGAGGUUGGCCGGCCACAUUGGGACUGAGACACGGCCCAGACUCCUACGGGAGGCAGCAGUGGGGAAUAUUGCGCAAUGGGGGGAACCCUGACGCAGCGACGCCGCGUGAAGGAAGAAGGCCUUCGGGUUGUAAACUUCUUUGAUGAGGGACGAAGGAAGUGACGGUACCUCAAAAACAAGCCACGGCUAACUACGUG
RNAcentral lists this ribosomal RNA (472 nucleotides) under uncultured bacterium. RNAcentral describes it as "bacterial SSU rRNA". It matches the Rfam family "Bacterial small subunit ribosomal RNA", at positions 31 to 507 of the family's 1533-position model. The record is from RNAcentral.